UGGAUUGUGGCUCAGCGGUAGAGCGCUCGCCUAGCACAUGCGAGGCCCUGGGUUCGAUCCUCAGCACCAA
RNAcentral lists this transfer RNA (70 nucleotides) under Marmota marmota marmota (Alpine marmot). It matches the Rfam family "tRNA". Rfam says of the family: Transfer RNA (tRNA) molecules are approximately 80 nucleotides in length. Their secondary structure includes four short double-helical elements and three loops (D, anti-codon, and T loops). Further hydrogen bonds mediate the characteristic L-shaped molecular structure. tRNAs have two regions of fundamental functional importance: the anti-codon, which is responsible for specific mRNA codon recognition, and the 3' end, to which the tRNAs corresponding amino acid is attached (by aminoacyl-tRNA synthetases). tRNAs cope with the degeneracy of the genetic code in two manners: having more than one tRNA (with a specific anti-codon) for a particular amino acid; and 'wobble' base-pairing, i.e. permitting non-standard base-pairing at the 3rd anti-codon position. Lineage: Eukaryota; Metazoa; Chordata; Mammalia; Rodentia; Sciuridae. The record is from Rfam by way of RNAcentral. RNAcentral also lists the same sequence under 1 other name.